AUGCUUGGGCCGUGUCACUGGGUCGUGACGGUGCCGGAGGACGAGGACAGCAAGGCCGGGUGCCGCGGCACCGCGUUGGCCGCGGCCGGUGAAGGGGGCGAAGAAGGGCGGCUUCCCUGGCCGUGGUUGUGGCCGUGGCCCUGGGAGUUGGUGCGGUGGAAGCGGCACUUGGAGGACCCGUCGUGGGUGGCCAGCACGCAGGCGCACUUGGAAGCGGGGCCGUGGCCCGCGCCGGACGGCGCCGACGUCGACCCGGGCCACCUCCUCCGCGUAUUUUUGGAGCUGUGGCUGGCCGAUUUACAUGAAAUUAUUUCCCUCAGUUGUGGUGGCAAAAAUACACAUAAUCCAUAUUGUUAUGCACUACCGUGUGUGUGUGUGUGUGUGUGA
RNAcentral lists this ribosomal RNA (387 nucleotides) under Triticum aestivum (bread wheat). Its description in RNAcentral is "partial small subunit ribosomal RNA". Lineage: Eukaryota; Viridiplantae; Streptophyta; Magnoliopsida; Poales; Poaceae. The record is from RNAcentral.